UGAGAGCGGGCUUUGAAGCUGCAGGGUUCAUACCUCUGAGGAGUUAAACCUCUCAA
This 56-nucleotide transfer RNA is filed under the name Acanthogyrus cheni. RNAcentral's name for it is "tRNA-Met". The record is from RNAcentral. Lineage: Eukaryota; Metazoa; Acanthocephala; Eoacanthocephala; Gyracanthocephala; Quadrigyridae.